AAGCUCGUAGUUGAAUUUCGAGGGUGAUUUGGCCGGGCCUACUUGGCUUGUCUGAGUAGGCAUUCUGGAUCCAAGGGCCCUGUACCACUUUCUGGGGAGCUAGUCUACUCUUUAUUGAGUUGGGUUAGGGAGCCAGGACUUUUACCUUGAAAAAAUCAGAGUGUUCAAAGCAGGCAUAUUUGCUCGAAUACAUUAGCAUGGAAUAAUAGAAUAGGACCAUGGUUCUAUUUUGUUGGUUUAUAGGACCAAGGUAAUGAUUAAUAGGGACAGUUGGGGGCAUUUGUAUCGGAUCGUUAGGGGUGAAAUCCUUGGAUCGGUCCGAGACAAACUAAUGCGAAAGCAUUUGCCAAGGAUGUUUUCAUUAAUCAAGAACGAAAGUUAGGGGAUCGAAGACGAUUAGAUACCGUCGUAGUCUUAACCAUAAACUAUGCCGACUGAGGAUCAGACCAUGUUAUUUAUAUGACUGGUUUGGCACUCUACGAGAAAUCAAAGUUUUUAGGUUCCGGGGGGAGUAUGGUCGCAAGGCUGAAACUUAAAGGAAUUGACGGAAGGGCACCACCAGGAGUGGAGCCUGCGGCUUAAUUUGACUCAACACGGGGAAA
This 602-nucleotide ribosomal RNA is filed under the name uncultured zygomycete. Its description in RNAcentral is "bacterial SSU rRNA". It matches the Rfam family "Eukaryotic small subunit ribosomal RNA", at positions 624 to 1213 of the family's 1831-position model. The record is from RNAcentral. Lineage: Eukaryota; Fungi.